AUGCUCUCUCCUGCCACGUUCCCUUUCUCCCCCCUGCUCCGCCUUUUACUCCCCUCCGUCCUCACACCUUUGCCGGCCUGGCUCCUCGCUCUCUGGCUCCUGCUCCGCUGUUUGCUUGCCUGGCUGCGCGCACGUGUUCUCUCUUGCUUGCUUGUCAAUCGCUCGCUGGCCCCUUUGCUCGAGCGCUCGCUUGCUCUCCUCUGUUUGCUGCUCUCUCCCCUGCUUGCUCCUCGCUCGCUUUCUCCUCUGCUUGCUGCUUUCUCCCUCUCUCCCCUGCUUGCUCCUCACUCGCUCUCUCCUCUGCUUGCUGCUCUGUUCCCCUGCUUGCUCCUCACGUGCUCUCUCCUCUGCUUGCUCUUCGCUUGCUUUCUCUUCUGCUUGCUCCUCGCUCGCUCUCUCCUCUGCUUGCUGCUCUCUCUUCCCCUGCUUGCUCCUCACAUGCUCUCUCCUCUGCUUGCUGCUCUCUCCCUCUCUCCCCUGCUUGCUCCUCGCUCGCUCUCUCCUCUGCUUGCUGCUCUCUCUUCCCCUGCUUGCUGCUCACUCGCUCUCUCCCCUGCUUGCUCCUCGCUCUCUUUCUCCUCUGCUUGCUCCUCGCUCGCUCUCUCCCCUGCUUGCUGCUCACUCGCUCUCUCCUUUGCUUGCUGCUCUCUCUUCCCCUGCUUGCUGCUCACUCGCUCUCUCCUCUGCUUGCUCCUCACUCGCUCUCUCCCCUGCUUGCUGCUCACUUGCUCUCUCCUUUGCUUGCUGCUCUCUCUUCCCCUGCUUGCUGCUCACUCGCUCUCUCCUCUGCUUGCUCCUCGCUCUCUCCCCUGCUUGCUCCUCGCUCGCUUUCUCCUCUGCUUGCUGCUCUGUUCCCCUGCUUGCUCUUCGCACGCUCUGUCCCCUGCUUGCUCCUCGCUCGCUCUCUCCUUCCUCUGCUUGCUCUUCACUUGCCUUGCCAUCGGCUCUCUCUCUGCUCUGGUUUGCUCAUCCUGCUGCUCUGGCUUAAUCUCGUUCUCUGCUGUUGCACCCUCUCCCUUGCAUGCCCCUUUGCUCUCCCCAUCGCUGCAUGCUCGCUCGCUCUGUUUCUCUGCUCAUUCUUUCACUCGCUUCUGCUCGGCCUGUUUGCUCAUCCUGCCUUUCUUGCCUUGCCGUGCUCGCUUUCUCUCUCUCUCUGUCUCUCCCCUGGCCGCAUGCUCGCUGCUGGAACCUGAAGGCAGGGCAGGGAAGCCUCCUCCCACACACACACUUUUACAAGUGGGAGAAUCGUUCUCCCUGGCUUUUUCCACAAAAGAAACAGAAGCUCAGAAUUCAUGUUCCCCCCAGAUUUUCUUUCCCCCACCCCGUAGAAUAAUCAAUUCUGCCGGGGAGGCGCGGCAAUGACACCUUUCGCCCACCAGGGGCUGCUGUGGUGCCAGAAGCGAGAGCAGCCAGCCCUGGCGAGAGAGGGGCCACUUUGGAUUUGUAUUAUUCUAUGGGGCGGGGGGAAGAAAAUCUGCGGGGGACGUGAAUUCUGCGCUCAUGGCUCUUUUUUCUUUCCUCGCCCUGCCCUGUGUCUUUCCCUUGCUUGCGCCUGUUUGCACGCUGUCUUGCUCACUUUGGCUCACCCCUUUUGCCCAGUGGGCAGGGCCCAUUUUUAGGAGCCGCUCCAAGCCGACGGCGGGAGAGAGCUCUUAAUGAAUCUGUCCCCAACGGUAGCUGUAGUAUAGACAUAGCCUCACUGGGCCCCCCCUGGCUGGUCAGGGGCUUUCUGGGUAAGAGCUGCAAUUUGGAGCAGUAUUAGGGGUGAGGCGGGCUGGUCCGGGGGGUGUUGUAUUAGUGUUUAGGGACUGGGGCUGCUUAUUUA
Gopherus agassizii (Agassiz's desert tortoise) is the source of this 1825-nucleotide long non-coding RNA. The record is from Ensembl. Lineage: Eukaryota; Metazoa; Chordata; Testudines; Testudinidae.